GAUGAACGCUGGCGGCGUGCCUAAUACAUGCGAGUCGAGCGAACGGACGAGAAGCUUGCUCCUCUGAUGUUAGCGGCGGACGGGUGAGUAACACGUGGAUAACCUACCUAUAAGACUGGGAUAACUUCGGGAAACCGGAGCUAAUACCGGAUAAUAUUUUGAACCGCAUGGUUCAAAAGUGAAAGACGGUCUUGCUGUCACUUAUAGAUGGAUCCGCGCUGCAUUAGCUAGUUGGUAAGGUAACGGCUUACCAAGGCAACGAUGCAUAGCCGACCUGAGAGGGUGAUCGGCCACACUGGAACUGAGACACGGUCCAGACUCCUACGGGAGGCAGCAGUAGGGAAUCUUCCGCAAUGGGCGAAAGCCUGACGGAGCAACGCCGCGUGAGUGAUGAAGGUCUUCGGAUCGUAAAACUCUGUUAUUAGGGAAGAACAAAUGUGUAAGUAACUGUGCACAUCUUGACGGUACCUAAUCAGAAAGCCACGGCUAACUACGUG
This 497-nucleotide ribosomal RNA is filed under the name uncultured bacterium. RNAcentral describes it as "partial 16S ribosomal RNA". It matches the Rfam family "Bacterial small subunit ribosomal RNA", at positions 28 to 507 of the family's 1533-position model. The record is from RNAcentral.